Non-coding RNA from Desmophyllum pertusum, 72 nucleotides. Lineage: Eukaryota; Metazoa; Cnidaria; Anthozoa; Scleractinia; Caryophylliidae. The record is from the annotation of a GenBank genome assembly.
UCUCCUGUAGCUCAGCGGUAGAGCGUCCGACCGGUGUGUGGAAGGUCAAAGGUUCGACUCCCAUUAGGAGAA